This 217-nucleotide long non-coding RNA is filed under the name Brassica rapa (field mustard). RNAcentral's name for it is "long non-coding RNA (BRAP_LNC003671)". The record is from RNAcentral. Lineage: Eukaryota; Viridiplantae; Streptophyta; Magnoliopsida; Brassicales; Brassicaceae.
GUGUAACCGCUGUUUCUGGAUCAAAGAGCUCGGCUUGUUCUUACGUGAUUUUGAACCGAUAAGCCUGUUAAGGGACACAAGGAAGUGGUGAAGAUGUAAUGUAUCGAAACUUAUCUUUUUAUGUUAUUUGCUAUUCCAGUAUGUUGUAUGUCGAGACUAAUAUUCUAUGGCUAAGUUGUUGUUUUCUAAUAUUUGAUUAAAUGCUAUUUAUAGGCAG